ACAGUAAGUCAUAGUCUAUCAUACAACUAGUAACUCCACAACCAUGUUGGUCAAUACCAACUAUCUAACUCCUCUUCUUUUUAAUUCCCUUUCCCUUUCUCACUCUAUAUUUCCCUACCUCUCCUUUGGUGAUGACAUACUUUUUUGUCAUAUUACAAUAUCUCUUGCUUUCAAGAUUCAUCCUGAAUUGGUAGCAGGAUUUUUACUUGGUCUUCCAGAGCUUCAUUUGAUCCACCAGUAUACAGGAUUAGUGCCCUUGAAUGAUAAAUGUUAACAGAUUGGUGUCAUUAAUGUUAAUAAUCUGAUAUUAAAUUGAUGUCAAGUAUCAUUUAAGGUCCAUCAAACAUUGAUGAUAAUAUAUAAUGUCAAAAUAAGCUAAAAGAACAUCAUUAUUUAAAUCAUGAUGAAACUUGUCUAUCAGUCUCUAGAAACUUGCAGAUGCAUUUUUGAAACCAAAUAACGUUAUGAAUGUGAUUUUAUCUGUAUUUUUAACAUUUGCACUCGAUGGUAUCCAAAACAUAUAUUAAAGUACAAAAUGAACAUUCAUUAAGUAAAUCAUCUAUACAAGACCAUGGAUAUGAAUCACUAACUAUGAUUGCAUUGAGAUGUUAAUAAUCAAAACCUAGGAUUACUGCCUGUUUUAGGUACAAGAAUAAUGUGUGUCCCAGGAUGAUUUGCACUCAAUUAUUUUUCUGAAAAAGUUUGUCCACCACCUCCUCCAGAUAUGUCAGCCUUGCCUUGAAGACAUACAAUAAAAUGAUAUCAUUUUAAUUCGGUUCUGUGUUGAUACAAGUGGUAUCAAUUUCUCACUUUCUUCAGAGACUUCCUUAUUGACUUUAAAUACUCCACUCAAACAGCUUUAAUUUUCUACUAACAAGAACUGUCCUCUUUCGGCACAUAAAUACUCAACCAUUGAUAGCAAGUCUUUUCAAUGAAUAUGGCCCACAAUUUUUGAAAUACAAUUCAUGAUGAAUGUUCAAAAAUAUCAGAAAGACACCAUACUUGAUUUGUCACAUCAAAAAACAAUCUUAUAUCUAUAUUAGGCUGAAGUAUGGCACAGCAUGACCUUAUGUGAUUAUUAAAUACUUGUCAUCAAUUCCUAACAAAGUUACAUUGCAUUCUUUAGAAAGCAGAAUGUAUGUAAUGGCAAUUGGCAAAGUCAUGUUCUGCCAAUUGACUUUGGUUAUGAGAAUGAUUUGUGUUUUUAAAUGUCUAUCAGCUAGGCUUAAAAGACUUCUGAUCUUUGUUUAAUAAAAUUUUAUAUAACAACUGGAAAGCGUGAUUUAUUCAGUAGACUUUUAGGUUGUUGUAUUAAUUUAUAGUGAAAUAUACCAAAUAUUGUUGACGAAGUAUUGUUGUGCCAAAUUCUGUUGUCACAAAUGCAAGGGAGCUGCAAUUCAAAAUGGCUACCUUUACAGGAGCAGAACAUAUUCUGUUUGUUUUGGUUUGAAGAACCUCACUUAUAUGAAGAUGACCAAGAAUUCAUUCUCUUUCAGCAAGACACUGUACCACCUCACUAUCCUACAGAAGUCUGGGAUUUCUUUGAUUCAUUUAUAUUUUUUCACUCCAUGUCUCCAUUUGGCAGCAUAGACAAUCCAUGCAACACAUUUUUGUCUGAAAUUUGAAUAGUCUUUAUAGUUUUCUAUGGAAUCAGUGCAGUUACUUUAACUUCUUCUAUGCUUUCAAAUCUAAAACAACUCUCUGAAAAAUUUCCUGUCUGGGCAGGAUCAAAUAUUCUAUAUUCCUUUGAGGGAGUAGCAUUAAUUCAGAUUUUCCAAUGGUUUUUGAAAUUAUUUAGUAAUUAAUAUGGUAGACUGUGCCAUUUUUCCCAGAAUCUAUUAAUGUGUGAUGAUUGCAUAACCAAUAUCCGGAUAAGCUGCACUUAUCUAUGAUUUCUAUAAAAGAUCCGAAGUUUCUAAAUGGCAGUAAGGUAAUGAUAGACAAUAUAUUAAAUAUAAAUGUUAGAAUUAAUGAGAUUAAAUGGC
RNAcentral lists this long non-coding RNA (1985 nucleotides) under Androctonus crassicauda. The record is from RNAcentral. Lineage: Eukaryota; Metazoa; Arthropoda; Arachnida; Scorpiones; Buthidae.